AACAGGAUUAGAUACCCUGGUAGUCCACGCCGUAAACGAUGUCGAUUUGGAGGUUGUGCCCUUGAGGCGUGGCUUCCGGAGCUAACGCGUUAAAUCGACCGCCUGGGGAGUACGGCCGCAAGGUUAAAACUCAAAUGAAUUGACGGGGGCCCGCACAAGCGGUGGAGCAUGUGGUUUAAUUCGAUGCAACGCGAAGAACCUUACCUGGUCUUGACAUCCACAGAACUUAGCAGAGAUGCUUUGGUGCCUUCGGGAACUGUGAGACAGGUGCUGCAUGGCUGUCGUCAGCUCGUGUUGUGAAAUGUUGGGUUAAGUCCCGCAACGAGCGCAACCCUUAUCCUUUGUUGCCAGCGGUUAGGCCGGGAACUCAAAGGAGACUGCCAGUGAUAAACUGGAGGAAGGUGGGGAUGACGUCAAGUCAUCAUGGCCCUUACGACCAGGGCUACACACGUGCUACAAUGGCGCAUACAAAGAGAAGCGACCUCGCGAGAGCAAGCGGACCUCAUAAAGUGCGUCGUAGUCCGGAUUGGAGUCUGCAACUUGACUCCAUGAAGUCGGAAUCGCUAGUAAUCGUAGAUCAGAAUGCUACGGUGAAUACGUUCCCGGGCCUUGUACACACCGCCCGUCACACCAUGGGAGUGGGUUGCAAAAGAAGUAGGUAGCUUAACCUUCGGGAGGGCGCUUACCACUUUGUGAUUCAUGACUGGGGUGAAGUCGUAACAAGGUAACC
Molecule: ribosomal RNA, 730 nt
Filed under: uncultured bacterium
Lineage: Bacteria
Description: bacterial SSU rRNA
Rfam family: Bacterial small subunit ribosomal RNA
Source: RNAcentral